Molecule: long non-coding RNA, 1267 nt
Organism: Carassius auratus (goldfish)
Lineage: Eukaryota; Metazoa; Chordata; Actinopteri; Cypriniformes; Cyprinidae
Exons: 2
Source: RefSeq, a predicted model, not a curated record
GGGGAGGGGUUGUGGACUUCACAGGAGAAGAUGCGUCUGAGGACAUGCUGAUGGUGGGACACUCAAAGGAUACUGGGAAGACAGAAACGCAUCCUUGAUGACCUCCAGCACUGAAACACAAGCCUCCAGCAGCCGCAGGAGACCGUAAUUAGAUCAUUCACUGUUGAUGCUGCAAUACAUGUUUAGCCUUUCUUAGCAUUAUCUGACUGAUCCCCCACUGUCCGGGAAGAUAUUACAAAACUUGCCCUGCCGGCAGAGCAUUUGGUCAAGCCACUAGAGGUUCAAUCCCCCUUGUGGAGCAGGACUUGCUGCAGAAUCUGUUAAGUGAUGCACUGGGCACUGGAGCGCUGCAUGUUAACAUGAACGGGCCACGGAGGAUCAAGCAUCACUAAUAAUCACAGCAGGAAAUGGCACCGAAUGCAUAAUCGUGAACUCUCCCCCAUUCUCACUGCCCUCCUCAGGGCCAUUACAGCCCACACAAAUCAUAACAAGAGCGGGAUGACCACAAAAGAUGUUCCUUACGCGCAAUAAAGCAUAUUAAAUAAUUAUUUGAUUAUUUCAAAUCGCACCCAAGAAGUGGCAAAGCGGCUUUCCGGACACUCCCAGGUGGCUCUGCCAUGGCAACACACUGCCAACUGUUCCCUCUGAGAGAUGCGAAAUGAGAAAGGGCCCCUUUGUACCUUGGAUUACAUCACUGCAAUUAUAGCUUUCUGCUGUCAGGCUCAGAAUGCCCCAUAAACAGAAAAUGAGGCCAGUGAGUGUUUGAAAGCCAGGGCCAAUUAUAAAGCGCUGAUUGUGUGCUGAGGUACUGAUGCAUGGAGGAACAUUUGCUUCUGCUCUCGGUCUACCUACACAUCAGUGAAAAAGGACACAGAAUUGAUCAUCCCAUCAAGAGGAAGAAACUUCUAUAACAUAACAUUAAAAAAAAGUACCAAGGUGUGACCAUGUUUUUUUCCUGGUAUUUUAACACCAUAGAAAUACCACAAUAUAUGAAUUUGCCAAACAUUUACAACAGCAGUGUAUUACUGUCACUGUACCAUGAUAUCACCACAGUGAUGUUGAAAGAAAUUCUUGUUAUAAGAAGCAGACUCUUCAGUAGUGGUUUUUAAACUUUGCCCCUCCAAAUGUAAUUUCAUUAUACCAAAGACAAUAUUUCAGGACCCCCUACCCAGGGUGUGAUAUUUCCCCUUGCACUCCGCUAAAAUAAAAACAAAGAUACUAGGGAGAAUCAAAGGAUGUAACCAGCACAUUAAAGGAGUUAUUGAGG